GAGAACAAGAAAAACCAGCUGAGGAUACAAAAGGUAAUCAGAAUAAAGCAUAGCUAGGGACAAGGUCAAGGACUCCCUACUGGGCAAGGAACCACAGCUGAGAAAACUGUCGAGAAGAGAUGAUUCUUUGUGUAUAGAACUGACAAAUAGGUGGUUGAAAAGCUGCUCCUGACCACAGAAGCUGGAAGAAUGACACAGCAAGAAGCAGGCAGAGAAGAGAAACAACUUUCCGAGUACUCAAAUUUCUACUGAAGGUCAUUCUACUGAAGGAUUGAAGUAGAGCUAUCUUCAAUUCCACUUCUUGGAAAAAAAGAGUGAAGCUGAUCUCUAGAGGUGAGAAAAAGAAUUUACUGAAAGAAUUCUUUUUCCAGGUUCAGUUCAUGUGAUUGCUUAUUAUAAAUCACACCUUUAUUAAAAAGCAGCUUGAAUGAGUCUCUGCCUAGCUCCCAGAUGACUCUACCUAGAACUCAAAUGAAUGACAUGGAGACAGGACCAUGGAACAAGAUUGUUCUUUUUUCAAGAGCCUGAAGUGGGGUCAAAUUAUCAACAAAGGAAAGGUUAUACUUUUUGAAAACAAGACAGGAUGAAGAGAAAUGUAGCCUGGAAGACCCAUUAAUUAUUACUAUUAAUUUUUAAUAAUAAUAUAACUAUUGUUAUAGUUCUAUAAUCCUAUAUUCUAUGGUAUCUAAUCUAAUGUUAGAAUCUGUUAAUGGGUCACUUUGGCUAAAGAUAAAGAUAUAUGUAAUAAAAUAAUCUACUGUAUCUGCAUUAUGUAAAGGUUCAUUUAUAUUUUGUCUUCCUGUUUCUGCUUGAUGAAGAGAAAGUUGUAGUGGGUUGAAAUCAAAUUUAGUUCAACUAUUCAAUCCAAUAGUUGAAUUGGAAUCUCAAAAAUUCUAGCUAGGACUCUCACCACCUAUAGAGUCCCUGUAAAGUCAGUUAGAUGAAUUUUGCAUUCAGUAUCACCUGCAAAAGUGAUUAUGCUGUUCACAUAAGGAUGCUAUUGCUUAGGCUCUGAUCUUUUUUGCAGUUAUUACCAGGUAUAGGCUCAAGAUCCAUGACCCUUAGAAAAGUGUGAGGUCUUGGAGUUGAAAUAGUUUGAGACCAGUUUGUAACUUACCUGUCAAGCUAUUUGAAUAUGUUACUGAGUAACAGUUUCUUCCCAUAAAAAAUGGAGAGAAAAAUAUGUUCCUUGACAAGUGUGGAGAAGGAUGAAACAAAAUAUGUAAAUUAACUACCCAGUGCUUCCAAGUGCUUCACUACUAUGUCACUAUAAUAACUAUGAUUUUUAUUACAUAGGUAAAAUGUCCAACCACAUAAGAAAAAUUCUAAAACAAAAAUCAUUCUGUAAAAGCAAGUUCCAGUUUUCCACUUAUUGAUUAAUUAAUUACAUUGAUUAUAUUUCCCACGUUGUACAUAUCAUACAUAUGCUUUAUUUUAUAACUAAAAUUUGUACCUCUUAAUCUCCUUCAUGUAUUUCUUUUCUCCUCUCAUCCCUCCCCACUCUGGCAACUGUCUAGUUUCUGUAUCUAUGACUCUGUUCCUGUUUAGUUAUGUUUGUUUCCUUGUUUUUUUUUUUUUUUUUAGAUUCUACAUAUAAGUGAAAUCAAUCAGUAAUCAUGGUUCUCUUACUUAUAAUAACUAACAUAAUAUAUCCUCUAGGUCCAUCCAUGUUGUGGCAAAUGGCAAAAUUUCAUUAUUUUUUAUCAUAUCUUCUUUAUCCAUUCAUUUAUUGAUAGACGCUUAGGUUUCUUCCAUAUCUCCAUAUCCUAACUACUAUAAAUAAAGCUACUGUGAACAUUGGGGUGCAUGUAUCUUUUCUAAAGAGUAUUUUCCUUUUAUUUGGAUAAAAUCCAGAGAUGGAAUUGCAGAAUCAAAUGGUAGUUCUACUUUUAACAGUGUGAGGAAUCACCAUACUGUUUUCCCUAGUGGACACAGUGUUCUACAUUUUCAACAGUGAAAGACGGUUCUUUUUCUCCACAGUCUCACCAGCUCUAGCUAUUUUUUGUAUUUUUGAUAACAGUUUUUCUGACCGGUAGGAUGUGGAUCUCAGUUAUGGUUUUGAUUUGCAUCUCCCUAACAAUAAGUGAUGCUGAGCUUCUUUUCAUACGCCUGUUACCAUCUGUAUGUCUUCUUUGGAAAAAUGUCUGUAGGAGUCCUCUGCCCAUUUUUCAGUAAUCAUCUAGUUUUUUACAAUGUUGAGUUGUAUGACUUCUUGGUAUGUUUUAGGAAUUAACCCUUUAUCAGAUACAUCAUUUGCAAAUUUUUACAUUUACUUUUGAAAAAAUAUUUUCAAUACAUACAAAUUUCUGGGUAGUUCCUAUCAGCAUGUUCAAGAUGUAAUACAACUUUCCCCUGGCUUCUAUUUCACCCAUGAAAAGUUAGCUGUCAUUUUCAUGGUUGCUUAUUUGAAGGAUGAGUGGCUUUUUUUUUUUUUUUUUGUCUGCUUUUUUACCUUUGUUUUUCAGUGGUCUUAGUAGUAUGUACUUAGAUGUAAUUUUUAUUGUAUUCAUAUAUAUUGAGUUUUCCAGUACUUUUGAAGGUGUUUUAACUAACUUUUCCCAUAUUUUCCCAUAAAAAGUUUCUAAUAUUAAUGGUUCUUAUAUAGUUCCCCCCACAUUCCAUGUCCUCUACUUCUGAAUUUCAAUAUUAAUGUUAGACCAUCUUUCUGAGUCUGACAUUUACUCUGAUGCUCUUUUUUCCCCAAUGCUUAUAAUUUUUUCUCUGUGCAAAUGUUCAAGUAUUUUCCAAUGUCAUAGUAUUUAGUUCUAGAUCCCUAUCUUCUACUGUAUCUAAUCUAAUGUUAGACUUUGUUAGUGAAUCACUUUUCCUAAAGAUAAGGAUAGAUAUACAUAAUAAAAUAAUCUUCAUCUAUCCAUGUUACAUAGCAAUUCAUUCAUAAUUUCUGUUUUCCUCUUGGUUUUUGUCCUUAUGAUAAUGUCUUUUGCCAUGCAUUUUAACUUCUGACUGAAUUUCAAACAUUAUGACUAAAAUAUAUUGUAGAGUUUCAUGUAAUAUUUUCAUAUGUUAUCUUCUAUAUCCAAAAAGAAGACCUAUCCUUCAUUUCACUGUACAGAUAGAGGGGUGGCUGAUCAUCUUAAUCCAACAAAAUUAUUAUCAAUUAAAUCUGGGUUGAAGUUCUAGUAGGACUUUAUCUACCUCUGAUUUAUACUGCUUUCUAGGUAUUUGUUUUGGUUUUGUUUUUAACCAAGAAUAUGAUGUAUUCUGUGACGUUCUUACUCUAUUAAGUAAAGAAGUCUAAUCUCUGUCUUCAUGAGAAUGCUGGAAAUUCCCUUAUGGUCUUCAUUUUUUUCUGAUAUUCUUAGCUUUGCACUCCAUGCAACCCUAGCAUUUGGCAAGCAUACUGAAGGAAGAUCAGCAAUGUACUUGAAUAUCCAAAUUUCAUUCAUAAGUCUUCUGUUUUCUCCAUCCUUUAUCAGGGGAACACAAUAAUGCCAUUUGCAGUAACAAGGAUGGAACUAGACACUCUCAUACUAGGUGAAGUUAAGUCAGAAAGAAAAAGGCAAAUACUAUAUGAUAUCACAUAUCUGGAAUCUAAUAGAUGGCACAAAUGAACCUUUCCACAGAAAAGAAACCCAUGGACUUGGAGAACAUACCUGUGUUUGCUAAGGGGGAGGGGGAGGGAGUAGGAUGACCUGGGAAUCUGGGGUUAAGUGAUGCAAACUAUUGCAUUUGGAAUGCAUAAGCAAUGAGAUCCUGCUGUAUAGCACUGAGAACUAUAUCCAGUGAUGAAGCAUGAUGGAGGAUAAUAUGAAAAAAAGAAUGUGUAUGUAUAUGUAUGUGUGUGUGUGUGUGUGUGUGUGUGUGUGUGUGUGUGUGUGACUGGGUCACUUUGCUGUACAGUAGAAAAUUGACAGAACACCGUAAACCAACUAUAACAGAAAAAAUAAAAACCAUUAAAAUUUUUUUUUAAUUUAAAAAAUAAAAACAGUUAAAAAAUAAAGAAAUGACUGUUUAAAAAAAAAAAAAAUGACCCCUCCUGGACUUUGCAAUGGAUUUCCAGCUUCUUCAAAUGACUGGCUUAGCAAAUGUUCCCAGGUUGUAAGUCUUGCAGAAACUAUCUUUUAUAUCCAAGUUUUUUCUCCCAGAAUUUUUUUCCAGUUCUUUAGACCCCAGAAACUCUCCAUUUCCCUUCAAACAGUUUUUUUUCCCCCUGUACUUUAUAUUUUAUGUAUUUUUAUUUAGCCCCGCGGUAGAAAUUAUAAAUACUUUUUUAACUUAACGAUUUGCAAAGUUAAUUAUUUUCUUUAAUUUCAUUCUGAAAAAGCCAUGCUCUUUUCUAGCCUUUUUUUCUGUUUUGAACCCUAUCUAUUCAGUAGGCAUAUAUUUUUAUUGUUUUAUACUGUCAUUGUUUUUCUAGAUUAAACUGCAUUUGAAUACAUUAUACAUUUCAAUACAUUUCAGGAUUAUUUUACAUUUUUAUAUUAUAUCCCUUUGAUAUUAAACAUGAGUCAUAACUAAUUAAGUCUGCUGAGUAACUGCCUUAGUUUCUAGGCUAUUCUGUUUAAUUCUGAAAUUUAAAUGAAAAAAGACAACUAUAUAAAAUAUUAAUGAAUGUAAGCUCCAAAAGAUGGUAUUAGAACACGGAAAAAGUCACAUUCAAAAUCAUAUUUGUUUAUGUAUUUUGUCUGAGCACUUUGGUGUUGGUUUGCAACUCUGAAACUCCAUGAAAUUAAAAGUCUGGUUUAUUCUCAUCUUUUUGUGAAACCAAAGCUAAUGAUGCUGCUCUUUAAAGUGCUGCCUAAUCUAUGUUAAUAGAGUGCAGAUUAUUAUGAAAGCUAUAAUAAUCACAGAGAAAUUGAUAAUGAUUUGAAUCAGUGUCUGGCUUGUUAAUUGUAAAACCUAUACUAUAAAAGGAAAUUAUUUAACAACUGCACUUAACUAGUUUUGAAGUUUUAUUAGAAAUAUAGAUUAAUGGUUCCUAUGAUACUCAGUUCAGGAUAUAAAACAUCAUUGAGUUUACGGUAAAACUGUCAUAUUGAAACGUUGAUAGUCUAUAACCAGGUAAAAAAUUUGGAAAUCAUAAUGUUACAUUUUUUCCAUAUUUAUAUAUUUAAAUUAUUUUAUUGGCAGUAGUGCAGUGACAUAAGUAUGUUUUGUGUGAGUCAAAUAUUCAUAUACAGUUGACCCUUGAACAACACAGGUUUGUACUGUGCAGGUCCACUUAUACAAUGACUUUUUUCAAUAUACAGUACUACAUGACCCAUGAUUGCUUAAAUUCAUGGAUGUGGAACCUUGGAAAUGGAGGGCCAAUUGUAUGGUCACAUGUGGAUUUUUUCUUUCACAAGGAGUUGACCCUCUACCCUUGCCAAUUAUUCAGGGGGUCAAUUGUAUUAUCAUCUCCUACAGAUAAGACUUAUUGAAAGAAAUCGUAUCUCAGUUCUACAAGCUCAAACAUUUUAAUUCCCUAUAAUGCAGAAUAAAUAUGAUACUUUACCAUUAAGAGUAAAGCUGAAAAUUUGAAGGCUCUCAGAACAAGAAAUUCACUGACGAAAUUUCUCCCUUUAGUGUAACUUCCUGACAUUAGACCCUUUCAGGAAAAUAUAUUUUAAUAAAAAAGAGUAAAUGAAGAGGUAAAAACACUUAUUGAUGAUUUCUGUUUGCUGUAGAGUACCCUAAGUGCUUUAAAUCUGCUAUCUGUUGUAAUACCUCCAAUUUUAUUUUCAUUUUCAAGACAUAACAAAUGCAACACAGAAAGGUUAAUACUUUGCCACAAAUCUUGAGGCUACUGAGUGUGAAGUUUUAAUUUGAAAAGAAGUGUGUCCAACUUUUCCUAUUCAGUGGGCAUUAAAUGUAAAAGUAAUAAAGACAAAUAGAAGGUAUAAAGUUUUAAAAGAGAAGAGAAUGAAUGACUAAAAACAGCUUCAUUGUCUUCACAAACUCCUGUGGGAUAGCUCUAUAGAUUCCCCAAAUCCAGUGACAGUUUUUUUUUUCACAUCUUUUCUUUCUGUUUUAUACAUAGUCUAUUUUAUUGCUUAGAAGCAUCCAUUAGGAAUGACCUCAGAGAAGGAGGCAGAGAGAGAGAGAGAGAGAGAGAGAGGAAGAGAGAGGGAAAGGGUAUGCUUUGUGUAUAUUUGUUGAUGUUUAUAUGGUUAUAGUAUUUACCAUCAUCCAAAUUAACACCAAGAAUUAAUUUCAGUCCUUCUCAAUGAUUUUG
RNAcentral lists this long non-coding RNA (6175 nucleotides) under Sus scrofa (pig). RNAcentral's name for it is "lncRNA (ENSSSCG00025075659.1, ENSSSCG00045039095.1)". The record is from RNAcentral. Lineage: Eukaryota; Metazoa; Chordata; Mammalia; Artiodactyla; Suidae.